CAAAACAUAGCCCUCGGUAAUAUCGAAGGUGCAACCUGCCCAAUGGUUUUCAAUUUAAUAAGAUUGACUUCUUAAAAGAAGACUUAAAGGACGCAGUAUCCUGACUGUGAUAAUGUAGCAUAAUCACUCGCCAUUUAAUUGAUGGAUAGUAUGAAUGGUUAAACGAAUAUUACACUGUCUCAGAUAAAAUCUAUAUGAAAUUAAAAUAAUAGUAAAGAUGCUAUUUAAAACUGUAAGACGAAAAGACCCUAUAGAGCUUGACUACAUUCUCUUUCAAAAAAAAACCAGAGAAAAACCUAAAAAAAAGAGAGAAAGGUAGUUUAGUUGGGGCGACUUUCUUCUAAAGUAAACGAAGAUAAGCAAAGUUAACAAAAUAACUUAUUGUAAAACAAAUAUGUUUAACAAUUAUAAAAAUAGGCUGUAAUGACCCGUUAAAUAAAAAUAGAAUUUUUAACGAUCAAUAAAUAAAAGCUACCUUAGGGAUAACAGGAUAAUUUCGUUUUAGAGAUCUAUUCA
RNAcentral lists this ribosomal RNA (516 nucleotides) under Amphinema dinema. Its description in RNAcentral is "partial 16S ribosomal RNA". It matches the Rfam family "Bacterial large subunit ribosomal RNA", at positions 1809 to 2507 of the family's 2925-position model. Lineage: Eukaryota; Metazoa; Cnidaria; Hydrozoa; Anthoathecata; Pandeidae. The record is from RNAcentral.